Long non-coding RNA from Betta splendens (Siamese fighting fish), 856 nucleotides. RefSeq lists it as uncharacterized. NCBI's taxonomy places the organism in Eukaryota, Metazoa, Chordata, Actinopteri, Anabantiformes, Osphronemidae. The transcript has 3 exons. The record is from RefSeq and is a predicted model, not a curated record.
UCAGUGGGGCAAUUGACGGGACCAGAGGAGAAGACAGAACCAGACAGGUGCAAUCAGAUGUGUCACGCGGCCGUGGCGGCGUGGGCGUCAGCGCGGCGGCGGCGUGGGGGCCGCAAUAAGCACGUCACGGCCGAUCACGAUGAUGGAACACGAGCCGCGGAGCGUCGGCCCAGCGGAGGCUGUUUGCGUGUCUCCACGGUGAGCCCGUUACAGCUGUCGAGGCCGAGUAACGCAGGCGCAGGUGGCACCGACAGAUGCCACGCGCAGGAGAGGGAGCGGCCGAUCGAGCGCAGCUCCACGCUAAUCGGCCGCUGCAUCAGGGAUGGAUAGAGAGCCCUGGAGUCCGUUCUGCAUCCCAGAGAGUCCUGAGAGGACACAGCAAGAGACCAAAUGACGAAAUGAAAUGAAAACCACGCCAAGGCCGUGAUCAGGCUCUAAACAAACACAUGCUACCAGUGCCUGAGUCAGGAUGGAGAGAUGAGGACGGGGCAUCCCACUCACCCUCUGCACGGCCGGAGACACUGCUGCGCUGCUGUCAUGGCAACAGCAGCAGUCACCACCGCCAGCAUGGGCCUAUAAUGCACAGGCCAGGAGGAGUCACACACAAACACACACACACACACACACACACACACACACUGAAAGAUAAAACUACACAUACAAGCAAAAUACAGAUCCUGUGUGCAGAUUGUUGAUUGUUGUGUGACUACAUCUGCAGGAAGUUGUUGUCUUCCAAAAUAAAGCAUGAUAAUUAAAAUUAUUUUAUUAUUUAUUGUGUUUUCGGCUGAUAAAUAUAUUUGUUUUGCCGACAUUUUUAUUCGUCGGUGCAGGACUUUGAAAAAAAAAUGUUGUUAUG